AGAGUUUGAUCCUGGCUCAGGACGAACGCUGGCGGCGUGCUUAACACAUGCAAGUCGAACGGAGUUUACGAGACGGAAGCCUUCGGGUGGAAGGCUGUAAACUGAGUGGCGGACGGGUGAGUAACGCGUGAGCAAUUUGCCCUUUGGAGGGGAAUAACAGCCGGAAACGGUUGCUAAUACCGCAUAAGACACAACGGAGGCAUCUCUGAUGUGUGAAAGGAGAAAUU
This 227-nucleotide ribosomal RNA is filed under the name uncultured bacterium. RNAcentral describes it as "partial 16S ribosomal RNA". It matches the Rfam family "Bacterial small subunit ribosomal RNA", at positions 8 to 214 of the family's 1533-position model. The record is from RNAcentral.